This 573-nucleotide ribosomal RNA is filed under the name Phanogenia gracilis. RNAcentral's name for it is "partial 16S ribosomal RNA". It matches the Rfam family "Bacterial large subunit ribosomal RNA", at positions 1814 to 2603 of the family's 2925-position model. Lineage: Eukaryota; Metazoa; Echinodermata; Crinoidea; Comatulida; Comatulidae. The record is from RNAcentral.
CAUCGCUCUUUGUAAUAAACAUAAUUAAUAAAGAGUACUGCCUGCCCAGUGAUUAAAAUUCAACGGCCGCGGUAUCCUGACCGUGCAAAGGUAGCAUAAUAACUUGCUCUUUAAUUGAGGGCUAGCAUGAAAGGCAAGACGAAGGCUAAACUGUCUCCCCUUUAAAAAAAGAAACUAAUAUUCUAGUGAAGAAGCUAGAAUAAAACCGCAAGACGAGAAGACCCUGUCGAGCUUAAGAAAAUUCUUAUUUUAUUUAAAAUAAAAAGCUAAUCAUCCUAAAAAUACUUUUAGUACAAAAACCAAACAAGAAUAUCUUUGGUUGGGGCAACCACGAAGAAAAAACAACCUUCGAUUAAAUAAAAAAAAUUAACAAAUUUUAAAACUUUUAAUAAAGUAUUAAACGAUCCAGAAAAUACUGAACAAAGAAAUAAGUUACCGCAGGGAUAACAGCGUUAUUCUCUUUAAGAGCUCUUAUUGACAAGAGAGUUUGCGACCUCGAUGUUGGACCGGGGUACCAAAGAGAUGCAGAAGUCUCUAAAAGUAGGUCUGUUCGACCUUUAAAACCCUACGUGA